This 254-nucleotide ribosomal RNA is filed under the name uncultured bacterium. Its description in RNAcentral is "partial 16S ribosomal RNA". It matches the Rfam family "Bacterial small subunit ribosomal RNA", at positions 524 to 776 of the family's 1533-position model. The record is from RNAcentral.
UACGUAGGGUCCGAGCGUUGUCCGGAAUCAUUGGGCGUAAAGAGCUCGUAGGCGGUUCAGCAAGUCGGCUGUGAAAUUCCGAGGCUCAACCUCGGAACUGCAGUCGAUACUGCUGUGACUCGAGUCCGGUAGAGGAGAAUGGAAUUCCCGGUGUAGUGGUGAAAUGCGUAGAGAUCGGCAGGAACACCCAGGGGGAAACCAGUGGACUGGCACGGUGCUGACGCUCAGGUGCGAAAGCGUGGGGAGCGAACCGG